This 226-nucleotide unclassified non-coding RNA is filed under the name fungal sp. RNAcentral's name for it is "partial internal transcribed spacer region". The stretch from base 1 to 46 matches the Rfam family "Eukaryotic small subunit ribosomal RNA", at positions 1786 to 1831 of the family's 1831-position model. Lineage: Eukaryota; Fungi. The record is from RNAcentral.
AAGUCGUAACAAGGUUUCCGUAGGUGAACCUGCGGAAGGAUCAUUACCAAUUAAUCCAAAAACACUUUAACCCGUGUGAACUGUGGCAUUGUUUGUCCUUGGGGUGGCCGUUUUGUAUUUGCAAAAUGUUUGCUGCCCCACAUUUGAUUAACACAUUCUCAUUUUUGUGGCAUCUUAGUGUCUUACAAUAAAUUGACAACUUUUAACGGUGGAUCUCUUGGCUCGU